RNAcentral lists this transfer RNA (72 nucleotides) under Bos taurus (domestic cattle). It matches the Rfam family "tRNA". From Rfam's summary of the family: Transfer RNA (tRNA) molecules are approximately 80 nucleotides in length. Their secondary structure includes four short double-helical elements and three loops (D, anti-codon, and T loops). The record is from Rfam by way of RNAcentral. RNAcentral also lists the same sequence under 3 other names. Lineage: Eukaryota; Metazoa; Chordata; Mammalia; Artiodactyla; Bovidae.
UCCCUUGUGGCUCAGACGGUAAAGCAUCUGCCUACAAUGCGGGAGACCUGGGUUCGAUUCCUGGGUUGGGAA